Molecule: long non-coding RNA, 1451 nt
Organism: Zophobas morio
Lineage: Eukaryota; Metazoa; Arthropoda; Insecta; Coleoptera; Tenebrionidae
Exons: 4
Source: RefSeq, a predicted model, not a curated record
UGAAAUAGAAAUAUAUCUGUGUCCUUGUUAUGCUCCGUCUUUUCGACAGCAGGUAUUUUUUGCUUCCAGUAUGGCGAUCCUGUUACUGUCAUUUGGCCGUCAAUUGCCUUGGUAGUAACAAGUCUUCCACGACUGUUUGCUGGUUACCGGUGACACUUUCUCGUUGAAUAGGGCUGGAGUUACUUUGGGACUGGAAUAGUGUUCUUUCCGGUCCGUUAACUCAAUAAUUCUAGUACAGUCUGUCGUAACCUCAAAUCGUAAACACAUCAACCUUUCGUUGACAGAUAGCGAAAAUUACUAGCCUCGCGCUAUCUUUGUUUAACACAUAGGUUAGGUUCCUCUCUGUCGAAUUCCGACCACAGGCAGUUUGCCGUACUUUCUAAAAGUAAUAGUAGAUCUAGUGACUUUAGAUCUAAAUGAUCUGAUACGACACCUGGUGUCAAAAAUGUGCACUACUCAGGAGCAUAGUGAAAGAUGUAAAUACUGUUGGUUGUACAGUGAAAUUUCGUUGUUUUAUGUUAAACCAACAAAAUUAAAUAAGUUGGUCCCAGUAUUCCUGAAAAAAUGACUGUUAACAAUACAAAUUGUUGUGUUUUUCGCUGCCAUAGCAAAAACAAUAGAAACAGUGUGCUCUCUUUUCAUAAAUUCCCCAUAAAAAACAAGUCAUUUGUUUAAAUGUUAUGAACAGGUUAGGAAUCAGGGAAAAAAAUGGACAGAUAUAAGACUUGGAUGGUAAAGCUAAAUAUGGGAAAACCAGCAACAAACCACAUGAAAGUGUGUUCACUACAUUGUAAUCAGGAUGAUUUCAUAUUGAGGAUUUGAUUUGAGGACCCAGGUGGGUUAGUUAGCUUCGUGCUUGCCCACUACACCUUGGGUCGUGGGUUCGAUUCCCGCCUUGCCUUUUGGGUGUUGUGUAUGUCAUGUUUCCUGUAAUUGGGCCUCCAGCUUGUUAGAGACAUCAUAGGAUAAAAUAAAUAAAAAUAUUACCUGAUGUAAGUAUCAUUACUAAAGAAUUACUACCUAGAAGGCCCAAAAAUCGAGACUUUAAAGCAGUCAGAAGUACAACAAUGAGAAAAUCUGAAGGUUACAUAAUUUCAAGUACAGAUAGUACUGAUGUAAAUUGCUUCGACAGCAGUCAGUUACAUCAAAAAACUGUUUCAACAUUAGAAAUGGAAACCGUGCAGGCUUUGUUACAUUUACAAAAUUCACAAAAAAAGGAUAAAAAUAUUCAAGUGACAAGUGGAGAUUUGGUGGCACCUUUUAUAAGUACACUUAAAUCUGAUAAUGAUUUAAAUACAAUGGCUGGAAUACCAUCCUUUCUGUUAUUUAAUGCUAUUGUUGCAAAUUGUGAGAUGUUUGGAAAAUUCUGUAAUAAACAUAAAUUAAACUUGAAAGAACGUGUUCUGUUAACUUUUAUGAAACUGAAAAAUACAUUUUCUUAUGCUGUUUUA